This 253-nucleotide ribosomal RNA is filed under the name uncultured bacterium. RNAcentral describes it as "partial 16S ribosomal RNA". It matches the Rfam family "Bacterial small subunit ribosomal RNA", at positions 524 to 776 of the family's 1533-position model. The record is from RNAcentral.
UACGUAGGGUGCGAGCGUUAAUCGGAAUUACUGGGCGUAAAGCGUGCGCAGGCGGUUUUGUAAGUCAGAUGUGAAAUCCCCGGGCUUAACCUGGGAACUGCGUUUGAAACUACAAGGCUAGAGUGUAGCAGAGGGGGGUGGAAUUCCACGUGUAGCAGUGAAAUGCGUAGAGAUGUGGAGGAACACCGAUGGCGAAGGCAGCCCCCUGGGCUAACACUGACGCUGAUGCACGAAAGCGUGGGGAGCAAACAGG